AGUUGGAUAGGGAUGUUUAUGGCUCUCAUUCUCAAUUAGAACUUGAUGCAUUUCUAUAUUUCACCACAGAUUUAUUUGGAAACCUGUGGUGCUGUUGCGCGGAUGAAGGAAACUCUGACUACAGCGUUUAGCUACCCUGCCAUGUGUUAAAUUUCAAUAUAUCCAUCUCACUUUGCGACUUAAAAUAUUCUAUAAACUCUGAAAAAUAUGUUGAAUAAUGCUGAACAGAUUUUCAAGUUAACGAUUUAGGACUGAUUCAGUUAUCGGUUUUCAAGUGGAUGAAUAUUUUGGCGGGAUUUUGGUUUUGUUCUUGGUUUUUAAGGAUGAGGGUGUCACACAACCUGACAUCUGUCGAAUUUAAUGAGUUUCUACCAAAUGACAGAUAAAUGUGGGACAAAAUUCUGGACACAUCAUCUUUGACAUCAACAACAAAAGAUAUGGAAAUGUUUUCUUCUUUUUUUUUAAAGGUGGAUAUUUGCUUUAUGGACUUGUUGUGAAACAGUAAUAUUACAGAUAAGCUAAGCCUUAUCUACACAACCUCUCCUACAAGCUACACACCACCUCCCAUUGAACUGCUAUGAAUCAACAUGACCAUCAGAGGACAAGGUUCAACAAAGACUGCAGAUAAACCAGCAUCCAGCGAGGAGCAUCUCAGCUGAGCAUGAAACGAAAGAGAAAAACCUUCAAGACCAUUUAGUACACUUACAGGAGAACAAGAGAAGAGAUGUACAAUCAAGGACCAACAGUCGGAAGAAUAAACCCUGCAUUCACUGACCCUCAGGAUGAACAGGAUCAAUCGAACAAGCCUAUGGACUCAAGACGCUAACGUUGAUGGACACCGAGAGUUAGCGAUGAGUAGCUCCAGAUCGGCAUUGAUCCUGAACAGUAUCGCUCAUCACGGCCAGCACUAUCCUCUUAAUUUAUUUGUAUAGUGCAAGAUAAUGAACAGAUGUUGUAUUCUGCUUCAGAUAAAUCUACUCUUAUUGUAACUCAUCAAUGACUUUGUGGAAGAAAUGACAAGUAGCCUAUUUUCAAGGCACUCUAAAAAAAAAAAAAAUGUAUGAUUAUAUUAUUUAUUCCUUGCUGUAUUUAAUGUGGUUAGAUUAAUCUCUGAACUGUAUGAUUAUCUGUGCAUUUUACAUCUACAGUAGCAGAUGUGAAAUUAAAGUACAUGUUUCUUUAUACCAAUAUUUUAAAUUAGACAUCAAAAUAAGGCAUUUGAAUAAAAUCACAGCAUAUCUUUUUUUACCA
This is a long non-coding RNA of Cyprinus carpio (common carp), 1251 nucleotides long. Lineage: Eukaryota; Metazoa; Chordata; Actinopteri; Cypriniformes; Cyprinidae. The record is from Ensembl.